This 484-nucleotide ribosomal RNA is filed under the name uncultured bacterium. RNAcentral's name for it is "partial 16S ribosomal RNA". It matches the Rfam family "Bacterial small subunit ribosomal RNA", at positions 30 to 507 of the family's 1533-position model. The record is from RNAcentral.
AUUGAACGCUGGCGGCAGGCCUAACACAUGCAAGUCGAGCGGAUGAAGGGAGCUUGCUCCUGGAUUCAGCGGCGGACGGGUGAGUAAUGCCUAGGAAUCUGCCUGGUAGUGGGGGAUAACGUCCGGAAACGGGCGCUAAUACCGCAUACGUCCUGAGGGAGAAAGUGGGGGAUCUUCGGACCUCACGCUAUCAGAUGAGCCUAGGUCGGAUUAGCUAGUUGGUGGGGUAAAGGCCUACCAAGGCGACGAUCCGUAACUGGUCUGAGAGGAUGAUCAGUCAACCCUGAAAGUGAGAAAGGGCCAGAAUCCUACGGGGGGGAGGCGGUGGGAAUUUUUGACCAUUGGGGGAAACCUGAUCCAAGCCAGCCGGGGGGUGUAAGGAGGGUCUCCGAUUGUAAAGGCACUUUAGGUGGGAGGAAGGGGAGUUAAGUAAUACCUUGCUUGUUUGACGGUACCAAAAGAAUUAGCCACGGCUAAACUCGUU